Molecule: long non-coding RNA, 574 nt
Organism: Corapipo altera (White-ruffed manakin)
Lineage: Eukaryota; Metazoa; Chordata; Aves; Passeriformes; Pipridae
Exons: 2
Source: RefSeq, a predicted model, not a curated record
CGGGCUGAGGGGAGCGGCGGGGAGGUGGCGGCUGAGCGGCGGUCGCUGCCCUCAGAGCCGCGCACCCAGCAGGGCUCCCUCACUAACCCUGCUCGUUACAUCUCUUUUUCAGCUGGAUUGCACCUGACUACAAAGACAGAGCAAAGAAGGAACACUAGUAACUGGCAAGAAAGGAGACUUUCUCUCUUCCCCCCCCCCCCCACAGCCCAUGCCAGCCACACUGUACAGCCAUUGCAAACUUGACUGCAUUUGGAUUAUUCUUGGGGUGUUUUGAUGUGACUCAAAACACUGCAGGUGUUUUCAGACACUAAAGGGCAAUGAACAGGGAUUUUCUUAUGUAGCCUUUUGGCAUUUGAUGUAUAGGAAUAUCAACUGUAUAGAGAGGUGCAGGGACAUUAUUUAAGUAGACAUGAUAUAAUACUAUUAUGAAAAUAAAAGUCAUUACUUGUGUGUCAAGGUAGAGAUCAGGGUGUACCAGACUGUAAACCCUUCUGUGGGCAACACCUGUGGCUUAUGCUUUUCCAAGCCUUUAAACUGCAUUGAACAAAUUGGAAUAAAAAUGUAAUUGGAGGAA